CGAGUGAAGCGGCAACAGCUCAAAUUUGAAAUCUGGCCUUCGGGUCCGAGUUGUAAUUUGUAGAGGAUGCUUUUGGCGCGGUGCCUUCCGAGUUCCCUGGAACGGGACGCCUUAGAGGGUGAGAGCCCCGUACGGUUGGACACCAAGCCUCUGUAAAGCUCCUUCGACGAGUCGAGUAGUUUGGGAAUGCUGCUCUAAAUGGGAGGUAAAUUUCUUCUAAAGCUAAAUAUUGGCCAGAGACCGAUAGCGCACAAGUAGAGUGAUCGAAAGAUGAAAAGCACUUUGAAAAGAGGGUUAAAUAGCACGUGAAAUUGUUGAAAGGGAAGCGUUUGCGACCAGACCUUUUCCUGGCGGAUCAUCCGGUGUUCUCACCGGUGCACUUCGCCAGGUUGAGGCCAGCAUCGGUUUCCGCAGGGGGAUAAAAGCUUGGGGAACGUAGCUCCUCCGGGAGUGUUAUAGCCCCUCGCAUAAUACCUUUGCGGGGACCGAGGACCGCGCUUUUUGCAAGGAUGCUGGCGUAAUGGUCGUCAACGACCCGUCUUGAAACACGGACCAAGGAGUCGAACAUUUGUGCGAGUGUUUGGGUGUUAAACCCUCACGCGUAAUGAAAGUGAACGGAGGUGAGAGCCCUCACGGGUGCAUCAUCGACCGAUCCUGAUGUCUUCGGAUGGAUUUGAGUAAGAGCAUAACUGUUCGGACCCGAAAGAUGGUGAACUAUGCGUGGAUAGGGUGAAGCCAGAGGAAACUCUGGUGGAGGCUCGCAGCGGUUCUGACGUG
RNAcentral lists this ribosomal RNA (777 nucleotides) under Xylaria psidii. Its description in RNAcentral is "partial large subunit ribosomal RNA". It matches the Rfam family "Eukaryotic large subunit ribosomal RNA", at positions 90 to 893 of the family's 3401-position model. The record is from RNAcentral. Lineage: Eukaryota; Fungi; Ascomycota; Sordariomycetes; Xylariales; Xylariaceae.